GACAAAUAUUCAUAUCAUUUUCACAUAAAAAUAUACUUAGGGCAUUGCCCUUAUUUAAAAAGAAAGUCCACCUCAAAUGCUUAACUCCUCAAUCAGUUUCUGCUUCAACCACAAACGACGUGCAAAGUUCACCCUUUUUAAAAUAAUAUGAUAGGCUAAAAAUUAGACUUUGCAAAAUAUCUUAAUUUAAAACGAUGCAUGCAUCCUACGUGCGUGUGCUCAAAUUAUUCAUCAUUCUUUCACAUAGAUGAACAUACAUAUUCUCGCACAAUCAGUCCAACGCCUACUCAAAAUUAUUUAAUUAGCCAAGUAGAAUAUACUAAACGCAAACUACAGAGCAAUUAAACACAAACUCUCCAACCCAUUUAUUUAAUUUACAAGGCCCAACUAAAAGUAUUAAAGUAGCCCAACACUUAAAAUCUAAAGCAAGAAAAAGAAACAGUAGCAUAGUAUACUCCCCCUGCCACCACACGUCUACUUCCCAAAGACAACUCAAACCAGCAACUCUCUCUCUCUAAAUCUCACGCUCUCUCUGCCAUUCUUCUACAACUCUCACAAAUGAGCACAAAGCUCACUCUCAAUUUCUCGUCUCUUCCUCUCCUCUGUACUCUCCCUUCCCUAUUCUCAAUUUUGCAAAACGUCAAUCCCAAUUCUCAUCUCACAAUUUAAAGUUUCAAAACAGAAACGGCAAAACCCAAAUUAGAAGUACAAAAUGUGGCUCCACCUCUCUUCCUCUCUCGGCCUUUGCUGCACCAGUAACCACCGCUGCCGCUGUCACUGCCUCUCUGUCACCGCCGAGCUCCAGCCGUAUAAGCUCCGUUCACCAACCGCCGCCACCAAGCACAAACCGUUAUUAAUGGGCAUCAAGAAUUGAGUUUGGAAGAAACAAAAAGGCAACAUCUAAGCAUUAAAGGUCGAGGCUUUAAUAAAUCAUUCAACAAUUUUUCAAGGGUGAAAUAAAUUCUCAUGGAGGAACUAUCGUGAAUCAUGAACUAUGCCAAGAAAAUUGAGGGGAAAAGGCUAUACCUGUUCGUUUCAAGGAAUGAACUUCAAUGUGCAAGGGGAAAACUUGAUGAAACUCACGGCUGCCCUACUCCAGACGUGAUGAAAAAUUUGUGGGACGGUUUGGGUGUAUAUAUUCACAUAUAAAUUGUAGAUUUGAAACUGAUAUAGAGUAGUAUAAUAAUUCUGUCGAGAUUUGGUUUGCUGAAGAGAUUUUAGGGAGUUAAGAUAUGGGGAAAUCGUUUGGUGAUGGGGUUGUAGAAAUAUAUUUGACUCAAUAGAUGACUACAAAUUUGGAAUAAAUAAUUGAUUUUUUUUU
This is a long non-coding RNA of Salvia splendens (bonfire salvia), 1321 nucleotides long. RefSeq lists it as uncharacterized. The transcript has 2 exons. The record is from RefSeq and is a predicted model, not a curated record. Lineage: Eukaryota; Viridiplantae; Streptophyta; Magnoliopsida; Lamiales; Lamiaceae.